GAUGAACGCUGGCGGCGUGCCUAACACAUGCAAGUCGAGCGAACAGACGAUGAGCUUGUUCCUUGCACGUUAGCGGCAGGCGGGUGUGUAACACGUGGAUCACCUACCUGUCUUUCUGGGAUAACUUGGGAAAACGGGAGCUAAUACCAGAGAAUAUAUUGAACCGUAGGGUGCGAUGGUAAAUGUCGGUUUUGCGGGCUCUUAUAGAGGGAUCGCCGCCGCUUUGGCUAGUUGGUAGGGUCAAGGCCUACCAAGGCUACGAUGCGUAGCCGAGGUGAUAGGGGGGUCGGCCACAUGGGAAGGGAAACAGGGACCAGAGUACUAAGGGAGGCAGCAGUAGGGAACCGUAGGCAAUGGGGGGGAGCCUGACGCAGCAAGGCGGCGUGAGUGAUGAAGGUCCUGGGUGCGGAAAGCUCUGUUAUUGGGGAAGAACAAAUGUGGAAUUAAAUGUGGAGUGCUUGACGGUACCUAAUAAAAAAGCAACGGCUAACUACGUG
RNAcentral lists this ribosomal RNA (497 nucleotides) under uncultured bacterium. Its description in RNAcentral is "partial 16S ribosomal RNA". It matches the Rfam family "Bacterial small subunit ribosomal RNA", at positions 28 to 507 of the family's 1533-position model. The record is from RNAcentral.